UGGACAUAUUUUAGGAUAAUUAAGCUACAAUGUAUAUGAAAUGGAAGAGAGGAGCUAGAGACUGGUUCUUCCCUUAUUCCUAUCACAGUAUUUGCACAAGGUGAUGCAGACCAUCUCUAACACUUGCCUUUUCUCUCACUUCUACUUGUAGAUGGCCGCCCUGCUCCCCCAAUGAAAGGCCAGCUUCGAAGAAAAGCUGAAAGGGAGACGUUUGCAAGACGAGUUGUACUGCUGUCACAGGAAAUGGACGCUGGAUUACAAGCAUGGCAGCUCAGGCAGCAGAAGUUGCAGGAAGAACAAACGAAGCAGGAAAAUGCUCUUAAACCC
This 327-nucleotide small RNA is filed under the name Pan troglodytes (chimpanzee). Its description in RNAcentral is "retained intron". The record is from RNAcentral. Lineage: Eukaryota; Metazoa; Chordata; Mammalia; Primates; Hominidae.